RNAcentral lists this ribosomal RNA (497 nucleotides) under uncultured bacterium. Its description in RNAcentral is "partial 16S ribosomal RNA". It matches the Rfam family "Bacterial small subunit ribosomal RNA", at positions 28 to 507 of the family's 1533-position model. The record is from RNAcentral.
GAUGAACGCUGGCGGCGUGCCUAAUACAUGCAAGUCGAGCGAACAGAUAAGGAGCUUGCUCCUUUGACGUUAGCGGCGGACGGGUGAGUAACACGUGGGUAACCAACCUAUAAGACUGGAAUAACUCCGGGAAACCGGGGCUAAUGCAGGAUAACAUGUUGAACCGCAUGGUUCUACAGUGAAAGGCGGCUUUGCUGUCACUUAUAGAUGGACCCGCGCCGUAUUAGCUAGUUGGUGAGGUAACGGCUCACCAAGGCAACGAUACGUAGCCGGCCUGAGAGGGUGAUCGGCCACACUGGAAGUGAGACACGGUCCAGAGUCCUACGGGAGGCAGCAGUAGGGAAUCUUCCGCAAUGGGCGAAAGCCUGACGGAGCAACGCCGAGUGAGUGAUGAAGGUCUUCGGAUCGUAAAACUCUGUUAUUAGGGAAGAACAAAUGCGUAAGUAACUGUGCGCGUCUUGACGGUACCUAAUCAGAAAGCCACGGCUAACUACGUG